UACGAAGGGGGCUAGCGUUGCUCGGAAUUACUGGGCGUAAAGGGCGCGUAGGCGGACAGUUUAGUCAGAGGUGAAAGCCCAGGGCUCAACCUUGGAACUGCCUUUGAUACUGACUGUCUUGAGUUCGGGAGAGGUGAGUGGAAUGCCGAGUGUAGAGGUGAAAUUCGUAGAUAUUCGGCGGAACACCAGUGGCGAAGGCGGCCACCUGGACAGACACUGACGCUGAGACGCGAAAGCGUGGGGAGCAAACAGG
This 253-nucleotide ribosomal RNA is filed under the name uncultured bacterium. Its description in RNAcentral is "partial 16S ribosomal RNA". It matches the Rfam family "Bacterial small subunit ribosomal RNA", at positions 524 to 776 of the family's 1533-position model. The record is from RNAcentral.